GAUCCUGGCUCAGAAUCAACGCUGGCGGCGUGCCUAACACAUGCAAGUCGAACGCGAAAGCCCCGCAAGGGGUGAGUAGAGUGGCAAACGGGUGAGUAACACGUGGGUGACCUGCCUUCGAGUGGGGGAUAACGUCCCGAAAGGGACACUAAUACCGCAUGACAUCCUGCUUUUGGAAAAGCGGAGAUCAAAGCUGGGGAUCGCAAGACCUGGCGCUUGAAGAGGGGCCCGCGCCUGAUUAGCUAGUUGGUGAGGUAAUGGCUCACCAAGGCUACGAUCAGUAUCCGGCCUGAGAGGGCGGACGGACACACUGGGACUGAGACACGGCCCAGACUCCUACGGGAGGCAGCAG
RNAcentral lists this ribosomal RNA (352 nucleotides) under uncultured Acidobacteriota bacterium. RNAcentral describes it as "bacterial SSU rRNA". It matches the Rfam family "Bacterial small subunit ribosomal RNA", at positions 15 to 354 of the family's 1533-position model. Lineage: Bacteria; Pseudomonadati; Acidobacteriota. The record is from RNAcentral.